UGGGGAAUAUUGCACAAUGGGCGCAAGCCUGAUGCAGCCAUGCCGCGUGUGUGAAGAAGGCCUUCGGGUUGUAAAGCACUUUCGGCGAGGAGGAAGGUGGUGAGCUUAAUACGCUCAUCAAUUGACGUUACUCGCAGAAGAAGCACCGGCUAACUCCGUGCCAGCAGCCACGGUAAUACGGAGGGUGCAAGCGUUAAUCGGAAUUACUGGGCGUAAAGCGCACGCAGGCGGUUUGUUAAGUCAGAUGUGAAAUCCCCGGGCUCAACCUGGGAACUGCAUUUGAAACUGGCAAGCUAGAGUCUCGUAGAGGGGGGUAGAAUUCCAGGUGUAGCGGUGAAAUGCGUAGAGAUCUGGAGGAAUACCGGUGGCGAAGGCGGCCCCCUGGACGAAGACUGACGCUCAGGUGCGAAAGCGUGGGGAGCAAACAGGAUUAGAUACCCUGGUAGUCCACGCUGUAAACGAUGUCGAUUUUGGAGGUUGUGCCCUUGAGGCGUGGCUUCCGGAGCUAACGCGUUAAAUCGACCGCCUGGGGAGUACGGCC
This 541-nucleotide ribosomal RNA is filed under the name uncultured bacterium. RNAcentral describes it as "partial 16S ribosomal RNA". It matches the Rfam family "Bacterial small subunit ribosomal RNA", at positions 355 to 887 of the family's 1533-position model. The record is from RNAcentral.